AUUCACUCAAUCAACAGAUAUUUAUCAGGACUGGAGCUGGACUCCUUGUAGGUUGUGCAGAAUGUACAUACAGAUGCAUGGAGAGUCACACUGAAGCCAUGCAGCUUCCGGUUGUGACAUCACUAGUGCUGGAGCUCAGUGAGAUUCUCUGGCCCAAUGGUCACAUGCUCCCUCUCCCCCUGGUGUGGUCUUACCUGUAUGAGGAACUCAACCUACUUAGCUCCUUUUAUUUCUCUUGGACUGGGAAACCACAAAAAUCUGGUGGUGGAUCCACCACCAAAUCAUGACUUAAAUUCUGACAUGUCCCUUGCAAAUGGGAGAGAGGAUGAGCAGAAACUCACAUCUGUCAGACACAGUUACCUGUUACCAUCUCUGCUAAAGACCAGGUGGUUGAAGAGCUGGAAAUUAAUGGGAUGCCCUGUCAAGGGCAUUUUCCACCCAAGCCCUGUCCUUCCUGCCAUGGAGAUCUGCCUGUUUCUUCCAAGAUCUAGUGUCUUCAAACCUCCCGACAAUAGGAGAGCAUCCGUAUGUUAUAAUUUUAUUUCGAGUUGUGAGCUUUCCCUUUAUCACCAAAAAGUUCCUGGAAAAACACCAAAUUAGUUCCACUUUACUGAAUAACAGAAUGUGUUUGCCAUCCACUGUAUAUUUUUAACCAAUAGUUGUUUCUGGCCACCUUCUAUUGGUGUUGUAUUGCCCUGUGUUGAAUACUGAAAGAGCAUAUGUCUUAGUCUCUGCCGGUGGUGAAUGUUUGGAGAGAAAAAAUAAGCUCAAAUGGACAAAAUGAGAAAAAUAAAUGCUUUUGUUGUA
This is a long non-coding RNA of Leopardus geoffroyi (Geoffroy's cat), 807 nucleotides long. RefSeq lists it as uncharacterized. The transcript has 2 exons. The record is from RefSeq and is a predicted model, not a curated record. Lineage: Eukaryota; Metazoa; Chordata; Mammalia; Carnivora; Felidae.